RNAcentral lists this ribosomal RNA (460 nucleotides) under uncultured Bacteroidota bacterium. Its description in RNAcentral is "bacterial SSU rRNA". It matches the Rfam family "Bacterial small subunit ribosomal RNA", at positions 338 to 795 of the family's 1533-position model. The record is from RNAcentral. Lineage: Bacteria; Pseudomonadati; Bacteroidota.
CCUACGGGCGGCUGCAGUGAGGAAUAUUGGUCAAUGGGCGCAAGCCUGAACCAGCCAUCCCGCGUGCAGGAUGACGGCCCUAUGGGUUGUAAACUGCUUUUAUACACCAAGAAAAAACAGGACGAGUCCUGGUCUGACGGUAGUGUAUGAAUAAGCAUCGGCUAACUCCGUGCCAGCAGCCGCGGUAAUACGGAGGAUGCAAGCGUUAUCCGGAUUCAUUGGGUUUAAAGGGUGCGUAGGCGGCUUUUUAAGUCAGUGGUGAAAUCUUGCCGCUUAACGGUAAAAUUGCCAUUGAUACUGACAAGCUUGAGUACAGUUGAGGUAAGCGGAAUGUGUAGUGUAGCGGUGAAAUGCUUAGAUAUUACACAGAACACCGAUUGCGAAGGCAGCUUACUAAACUGUUACUGACGCUGAUGCACGAAAGCGUGGGGAGCGAACAGGCUUAGAUACCCCUGUAGUC